UACGGAGGAUCCGAGCGUUAUCCGGAUUUAUUGGGUUUAAAGGGAGCGUAGGUGGAUUGUUAGGUCAGUUGUGAAAGUUUGCGGCUCAACCGUAAAAUUGCAGUUGAAACUGGCAGUCUUGAGUACAGUAGAGGUGGGCGGAAUUCGUGGUGUAGCGGUGAAAUGCUUAGAUAUCACGAAGAGCUCCGAUUGCGAAGGCAGCUCACUGGACUGCAACUGACACUGAGGCUCGAAAGUGUGGGUAUCAAACAGG
RNAcentral lists this ribosomal RNA (253 nucleotides) under uncultured bacterium. RNAcentral's name for it is "partial 16S ribosomal RNA". It matches the Rfam family "Bacterial small subunit ribosomal RNA", at positions 524 to 776 of the family's 1533-position model. The record is from RNAcentral.